This is a long non-coding RNA of Clupea harengus (Atlantic herring), 745 nucleotides long. Lineage: Eukaryota; Metazoa; Chordata; Actinopteri; Clupeiformes; Clupeidae. The record is from Ensembl.
AGAUGGCACACCAUAACACCCAAACCCUGGCUGGAGGUUCCUUUGGGAAGGUGUACAGGGAGAAGUAUAACGACAAAUGGGCCGCCGUGAAGAGGGUUCCAAUGGGGCUCAUCCACAAGGAACAGCUGGAGAGAGAGUAUAAAGUGUACUGGUGAGUUUGAGAGAGGGGCGCUCUGUUGAAUGGUGAGGUGGAGUUAAGUUGUUAGUAGACGUAUGUUGGUAAUGAAUGAACAAGUGUUGCUGGAGGCUAGAAAUUAGCGAGUGUUCAGAGACAAAUCUCCCAAGGGCAAAUUAACAUGACUUUAAACCCUUUACAAAUUUACACUGGUGAAAUGUACGAUAAGGAUGAUGUUCUAAAGAUAAUUAAAUAAGAUUUAAGAUAACUUACCUCCGAAAACUGAUAUUUACUUUUUGAUGAUUAUUUUCUGUUAUAUCACAGUAAUGCGCAGCAUCCUAAUGUGGUUGCAGUACUGGGUAAACCAUGGCUGAAGGAUGCCAAGUGGAACAUUCCUCUGGAGUUCAUUUCAGGGGAAGACCUGGAGACAACAAUCUUUUGCUCUCAGAAGUCUAAAGUAAAGUUGGCUCCUACUGUCAGAGCGACCAUUAUCAGUGGCAUGUGCGCAGGGCUGCAUCAUCUUCACAGUAAAGACAUCGUGCACCAGGACAUCAAACCUGAUAACAUCAUGGUGGAACAUGAAGCGAACCGCGCCGUCAUCAUAGAUCUAGGACUAGCUAAGUUCUUCAG